CUGUUGCUGUAACAUAUAUACUAAAACUGGAAUGAUACAGAGAAGUUUAGCAUGGUCCCUGCACAAGGAUGAUAAGCAAAUUCGUGAAGCAUCUAAAUCACUA
This is a small nuclear RNA of Sphaerodactylus townsendi, 103 nucleotides long. The record is from RefSeq and is a predicted model, not a curated record. NCBI's taxonomy places the organism in Eukaryota, Metazoa, Chordata, Lepidosauria, Squamata, Sphaerodactylidae.